This is a long non-coding RNA of Xenopus laevis (African clawed frog), 1736 nucleotides long. RefSeq lists it as uncharacterized. The transcript has 5 exons. NCBI's taxonomy places the organism in Eukaryota, Metazoa, Chordata, Amphibia, Anura, Pipidae. The record is from RefSeq and is a predicted model, not a curated record.
UAGUCCCAAUGAUAACAAUCACAGGGCAGGGGAAAAAGAGCAGCAACAGCAGCUGCCUGGAUUCUGCUCCUGAGUCACGUCUGCCCGGGCACAACGGGGUGUCACACGGGAGCUCCCCUCUGCUUCUAUUUCCUACAUAUAAGUGUAAGCUCUUGUGCAGCAGCUCUAUAGACAGUGUUCUGUACUACAUUUCCCACCAGCCUUUGCUCGCCUCUUGCCAUAGUUCAGCAGCAACUGGAAGCCCCUCAACCAAAGGGUAUUAUUAUUAUUAUUAUUAUUAUAGAUGCGUGUGAGUGUCCUCCUCAAGCUGUUAGGCUAGGGUCGGAGACCCCCCAACUUUACAUGAUACUACACGUGAGACAUGAUCAGUUUUAUCCGAUCUGCCUUUGUUCCUGUACAAUUACUCACAUAUGGGGAGGACUGGGAGUUGUAGUAGAGCAGGAGAUGGAGGAGUCUCACAGCUUUAUAUCAACUGCUUCACCCUCAGUCUUUCAUUCAUUGCCCUCUGUCCUGAUCCCGGGGCACUUUAAUGGAAUCAUCAGCUUUAUUCAAUAAUAAUCGCACAUUUCACAUCUACUUGUCAACUGUAGCGACAUUGUAGCAAUUGGGAUGAGUCGCUAGUGACAUUGGAGCUAAUAAAACACACUAACAAACUUUUAUUUUUCUCCCCGAGAAGCGAUCGCAGCCCUAGUGCGACUCUGUGCUCAGUCUGAAGCCUUUAAUCCAGCCCCGGGAUUUAUGGAGUUUCAGCACAGCCUCCUUCAUUGUACAGUGUGUCUAGAGCGUAUAGAAUGAACUCCCCUCCGAAAGCUGCAGAAUGAACUAGCCCAAAUCUCAGAAGGCAGCAGGAGAGAGAGCUCUUGUCCAAUCAGAAGCCGGCAGUUCAAAGCCAGCCCAUGUAUUGGUUAGAAGGUAAAUCAAUUAUCAAAUAAUCGAUCAGCGGGGCGCUGAGAUGUGCAUGGAGUGCUGGGACUCCAGUAGGGGGAAAGCUGAGUUGUGUGGCUGGGAAAAGAGCUUCAUGGCUCAUCUGUAACCAGAGGAAAGGCGCUUCGUAAAGCGAAACCCAGGCACAUCCACAUCCCUGCACACACUCAGCCAUGGGCCUGCUCUGUGGGAAACAAGAGGGAGAAAAAGUACACACAGAGUAUAGAAACAGAUGAGAAAGAAAGCAAAGGAAGAUAUGGCUACAUAUUGAUAGAUAUACAUCGGUGUGGACUGGGGAAGUGACAAACGGUAAACACAGGGUUAAUUCAGCAGGACACAGAAAAUAAACGACCUUCUUGGCCAUAAUGUGAGGUUAUUCGAUAGCAGCAUGGACCGGCUGGAGGUGCAGCUUUCUGUAGCCUGGAUUUAGAAUAUGAAAAUCUGAAAUGGGGAGAAAAAAAAAAAAAUUUGGAAAAAGCUAAAGGCCCGAGAGAAAAACAAAAAUCUCUGAUCGCUUUAGGAAACAAUAACUAUGACUGGAAACCUCAGACACUUCACAACAUCAGCCUCUCCUGGAAUGUGGUGUCGGCAUGAGGCUAUUUACGUGGGAAUGGAUACUACUGAAACAAAAAUGGAGUAUAUUGCUAAAAAGUAGACAUAUAUUUGCACAGGGUCUGGAGCUUUGGUCAUUGUGCUCUUCCUAUUGUAUUAACCCCUGCAUGGAACCAUGACUGAAUUUUGUCUAGUCAGGAAUUAUAUGCUAUUCUAUAUGAUGAAACUGUCAGAAUAAAUUUGAUUUUGCACUUACUCUA